CAAUAGCGUAUAUUUAAGUUGUUGCAGUUAAAAAGCUCGUAGUUGGAUUUUGGGUCGGGGCGUCCGGUCCGCCGUUCCGGUGUGCACUUGGUGCUCCUUCCUUUCUGCCGUUUUGCGCGUGGUGUCUUCACUGCCAUCGCGUGUGGGUCGGCGUUGUUACUUUGAAAAAAUUAGAGUGUUCAAAGCAAGCCAUCGCUCUGAAUACAUUAGCAUGGAAUAACAUGAUAGGACUCCGCUCUUAUUUUGUUGGUUUCCGAGACUGGAGUAAUGAUUAAGAGGGACAGUCGGGGGCAUCCGUAUUUCAUUGUCAGAGGUGAAAUUCUUGGAUUUAUGAAAGACGAACUUCUGCGAAAGCAUUUGCCAAGGAUGUUUUCAUUAA
This 379-nucleotide ribosomal RNA is filed under the name uncultured eukaryote. RNAcentral's name for it is "partial 18S ribosomal RNA". It matches the Rfam family "Eukaryotic small subunit ribosomal RNA", at positions 592 to 976 of the family's 1831-position model. The record is from RNAcentral.